UACGUAGGGAGCGAGCGUUGUCCGGAAUCAUUGGGCGUAAAGAGCUCGUAGGCGGUUUGUCGCGUCUGCUGUGAAAACCUAAGGCUCAACCUUGGGCUUGCAGUGGGUACGGGCAGACUAGAGUGCGGUAGGGGUGACUGGAAUUCCUGGUGUAGCGGUGAAAUGCGCAGAUAUCAGGAAGAACACCGGUGGCGAAGGCGGGUCUCUGGGCCGAUACUGACGCUGAGGAGCGAAAGCGUGGGGAGCGAACAGG
This 253-nucleotide ribosomal RNA is filed under the name uncultured bacterium. Its description in RNAcentral is "partial 16S ribosomal RNA". It matches the Rfam family "Bacterial small subunit ribosomal RNA", at positions 524 to 776 of the family's 1533-position model. The record is from RNAcentral.